UCAAGAGUUUGAUUCUGGCUCAGGAUGAACGCUGGCGGCGUGCUUAACACAUGCAAGUCGAACGGACGUAAGGAGCUUGCUCCUUGCGUUAGUGGCGGACGGGUGAGUAACACGUGAGCAAUCUGCCCGUGUCAGGGGGAUAACAGUUAGAAAUGACUGCUAAUACCGCAUAUGACCACAGAGAGGCAUCUCUCAGGGGUGAAAGAUUUUAUCGGACAUGGAUGAGCUCGCGUCCCAUUAGGCAGUUGGCGGGGUAACGGCCCACCAAACCUACGAUGGGUAGCCGGCCUUAGAGGGUGAUCGGCCACAUUGGAACUGAGAUACGGUCCAAACUCCUACGGGAGGCAGCAGUGGGGAAUAUUGGGCAAUGGAGGCAACUCUGACCCAGCAACGCCGCGUGAGUGAUGAAGGUCUUCGGAUUGUAAAACUCUUUAAGUAGGGACGAAGAAAGUGACGGUACCUACAGAAUAAGCCUCGGCUAACUACGUGCCAGCAGCCGCGGUAAUACGUAGGAGGCAAGCGUUAUCCGGAAUGACUGGGCGUAAAGGGUGCGUAGGUGGUUUAGCAAGUUGGCAGCGUAAUUCCGGGGCUCAACUCCGGCGCUACUGCCAAAACUGUUGAACUUGAGUGCAGGAGGGGUAAGUGGAAUUCCUAGUGUAGCGGUGGAAUGCGUAGAUAUUAGGAGGAACAUCGGUGGCGAAGGCGACUUACUGGACUGUAACUGACACUGAGGCACGAAAGCGUGGGGAGCAAACAGGAUUAGAUACCCUGGUAGUCCACGCCGUAAACGAUGAAUACUAGGUGUAGGGGGUAUCGACUCCCUCUGUGCCGUCGCAAACGCAUUAAGUAUUCCGCCUGGGGACUACGGCCGCAAGGUUGAAACCUAAAGAAAUUGACGGGGACCCGCACAAGCAGCGGAGCAUGGGGUUUAAUUCGACGCAACGCGAAAAACCUUACCAGAACUUGACAUCGCGUGACCAUCCUUGUAAUGAGGACUUCCCUUCGGGGACACAAAGACAGGUGUUGCAUGGUUGUCGUCAGCUCGUGUCGUGAGAUGUUAGGUUAAGUCCUGCAACGAGCGCAACCCUCAUAUACAGUUGCCAAUAUUCAGUUAGGAACUCUGUAUAGACUGCCGUGGUCAACACGGAGGAAGGUGGGGAUGACGUCAAAUCAUCACGGCCCUUACGUCCUGGGCUACACACGUGCUACAAUGGCUAUUACAAAGAGCUGCGAUACAGCAAUGUUGAGCGAAUCUCAGAAAGAUAGUCUCAGUUCGGAUUGUGGGCUGCAACCCGCCCACAUGAAGUCGGAGUUGCUAGUAAUCCCGAAUCAGCAUGUCGGGGUGAAUGCGUUCCCGGGUCUUGUACACACCGCCCGUCACGCCAUGGGAGUCGGGAGUACCCAAAGUCAGUGACUUAACCGCAAGGGGAGAGCUGCCUAAGGUAAUACCGAUGACUGGGGUGAAGUCGUAACAAGGUAGCCGUAUCGGAAGGUGCGGCUGGAUCACCUCCUU
RNAcentral lists this ribosomal RNA (1513 nucleotides) under chicken gut metagenome. RNAcentral's name for it is "Bacterial small subunit ribosomal RNA". It matches the Rfam family "Bacterial small subunit ribosomal RNA". The record is from RNAcentral.